AAUAUUUUAGGUUAAAGAAACCAGUAGCCUUCAAAGCUUCUAUUAGAUUUAGAAUCUAAAUAUUA
RNAcentral lists this transfer RNA (65 nucleotides) under Pollicipes pollicipes. RNAcentral describes it as "tRNA-Trp". It matches the Rfam family "tRNA". Rfam says of the family: Transfer RNA (tRNA) molecules are approximately 80 nucleotides in length. Their secondary structure includes four short double-helical elements and three loops (D, anti-codon, and T loops). Lineage: Eukaryota; Metazoa; Arthropoda; Thecostraca; Pollicipedomorpha; Pollicipedidae. The record is from RNAcentral.